CAAAAGGUCCAACAUCUCAAGAAAACUAAGAACAUCUGCACUGGUCAAAAUAUAUUUGAUCAAUGAAUAAAGAUAUUCAUCAUCUUCUCUUUCUUUAAAACAAUGCCAACUAUUCUGCGGUACUAGUAAGUAUUGCAUUUUUGAGAAGUCUAAGAUAAGAAAACUGAUGAGAAUGAUAAUACUUUGAUUCUGUUUAUAUAUUCUGCUCACUUCCGGUUGUUCGACCCAAACCCACGUCUCUUAUUUACAAUACAGCUUCACAGCCAGCCCGCGUAAGAGCCUUACAAAAGGGAUCAUUUACUAUGACAAACCAGUGGCGGUAAAUACACCGGCUGAUCGCAAAUAUAAUGUGUGGGCCCUACUCAACAUGGGAGAGAUUGAGGUUUGGAAGAAAGGUGUUACUGCCGUGACGGCGAAAACAUGGGCCCCGCUCUUCGCCAAAAUCGACGAGCCGACAAUGAAGUAAAGCAUCCUGCUUGGUCUAUGCGAAUCACGUUAUUUGUCCUGGAAUUUCCAGAAUAUUGCGAGUGCAUGUGGCACGAUUGAAUUCCGUCGCCCACGGCUCUCAAGUCUGCCGCAGAGGCAAUUCAUUGGAUCUCCUUCGCGUUGGGGUACAUCGCUCAUUCGAUGUAGAGAGAUUGGAGUACAGUCGCGCAAACAAACACCUUCCCUUCCACGAAUGAUCCCCGGGCAGCUGUCGUCAACGGGCUUCAAAAGAAGAACGAAAAACUAAUGAAGAAAAGUGUCUUUUCCGAGAAGGUCUCUAAUUCGCGUCCAAACACCCCAGUUGGAGCUGCAAGUCCAUGAGCGCUGUCCUAGCCCUUGAUUGAACUUCCGGUUUAAUUUGUAUAAAGUUCCAAUAUACAACACAGCUUAAUUUCAGUUGCUGUGGGUGUGAUACUCAGUAAUUUGAGUAAAUGGUUAUGUGAGAUGUGCAGCUUGGUCCUUGAUAUCCCCAGUUAUUAGGCUUCUUUUUCCAAGAUUGAUGUCCAGUUAGAAGUUCAGUUUACUUUUAUGAAGUGAAGUUAAGAGUUAAGUGUUGUACUGCAGUUAUUUAUAUCUCUGUUGUUGUUUACAUGUAUAUUCUAGAUGUUCUGCUCUAUUGUCAUGGCUUUGAAAGAACUAACUAAAGCUUAGAUCAAACAUGACAUAUUGAAAUGCUUACUAGUAGUUUUAUUGCUUCUGAAG
Molecule: small RNA, 1188 nt
Filed under: Histoplasma capsulatum
Lineage: Eukaryota; Fungi; Ascomycota; Eurotiomycetes; Onygenales; Ajellomycetaceae
Also listed under: 1 other name
Description: hypothetical RNA
Source: RNAcentral